GAGAUUCUAUCUCUGCGAUCUAGAAGCAGUGUAAAAUCCCAGUUACAUUUCGCUACAUUCAGGAGCCUAAAGCUAACGGAGAAAAUGAAGGCUGUAUUGAUGACUUUAGUGACGUUUUUAUUCUUCUUGUCUUUUAUAAUUUUCACACAAGGAGCCACUGUGUGCCCACCCCCACCCCCGUGUGCUGCUCCACCAAUGGGAUGCAACUACCAGCUGGACGCAGAUGGAUGUAUGAGGUGUCAUCUCGUCUGCUCACCCGGAUCGGUGCUGGGAGAGAUCCUUUAGCAGUAACCACCAUUCAGCAAACCUCCAUGGGACAGUAGACCUACAGCUAUAUUGAAUCUAAUGGACAGUAGACUACAGCUAUAUUGAAUCUACGUCUACACUACUCAUCAGGUUUUUAAAUUAAAUAAUAUUAAUAAGAUAGAACACUUUAAGUGUUUGAACUGAGAAUUGAAUUGAGCACAUGUACUUUACUCGAAAUUAAAAUGUGGUAAAACUAUAAAACAAUA
Long non-coding RNA from Physella acuta, 512 nucleotides. RefSeq lists it as uncharacterized. Lineage: Eukaryota; Metazoa; Mollusca; Gastropoda; Physidae. The record is from RefSeq and is a predicted model, not a curated record.